GACGAACGCUGGCGGCGCGCCUAACACAUGCAAGUCGAACGGAGCUGAGAGAAGCUUGCUUUUCUUAGCUUAGUGGCGAACGGGUGAGUAACGCGUGAGUAACCUGCCCUGGAGUGGGGGACAACAGUUGGAAACGACUGCUAAUACCGCAUAAGCCCACGAUCCGGCAUCGGAUUGAGGGAAAAGGAUUUAUUCGCUUCAGGAUGGACUCGCGUCCACUUAGCUAGUUGGUGAGGUAACGGCCCACCAAGGCGACGAUUGGUAGCCGGACUGAGAGGUUGAACGGCCACAUUGGGACUGAGACACGGCCCAGACUCCUACGGGAGGCAGCAGUGGGGGAUAUUGCACAAUGGGGGAAACCCUGAUGCAGCGACGCCGCGUGGAGGAAGAAGGUUUUCGGAUUGUAAACUCCUGUCGUUAGGGACGAUAAUGACGGUACCUAACAAGAAAGCACCGGCUAACAACGUG
Molecule: ribosomal RNA, 468 nt
Filed under: uncultured bacterium
Lineage: Bacteria
Description: partial 16S ribosomal RNA
Rfam family: Bacterial small subunit ribosomal RNA
Source: RNAcentral